Molecule: ribosomal RNA, 497 nt
Filed under: uncultured bacterium
Lineage: Bacteria
Description: partial 16S ribosomal RNA
Rfam family: Bacterial small subunit ribosomal RNA
Source: RNAcentral
GAUGAACGCUGGCGGCGUGCCUAAUACAUGCAAGUCGAGCGAACGGACGAGAAGCUUGCUUCUCUGAUGUUAGCGGCGGACGGGUGAGUAACACGUGGAUAACCUACCUAUAAGACUGGGAUAACUUCGGGAAACCGGAGCUAAUACCGGAUGAUAUUUUGAACCGCAUGGUUCAAAAGUGAAAGACGGUCUUGCUGUCACUUAUAGAUGGAUCCGCGCUGCAUUAGCUAGUUGGUAAGGUAACGGCUUACCAAGGCAACGAUGCAUAGCCGACCUGAGAGGGUGAUCGGCCACACUGGAACUGAGACACGGUCCAGACUCCUACGGGAGGCAGCAGUGGGGAAUCUUCCGCAAUGGGCGAAAGCCUGACGGAGCAACGCCGCGUGAGUGAUGAAGGUCUUCGGAUCGUAAAACUCUGUUAUUAGGGAAGAACAUAUGUGUAAGUAACUGUGCACAUCUUGACGGUACCUAAUCAGAAAGCCACGGCUAGCUACGUG